CAACCCUCAAGCACAGCUUGGUAUUGAGCCCAUGUCAGCGAUGGCAGGCUCUAAAAUCAGUGGCGGCGUCGUUGGGUCCUGAACGUAGUAAUAUCUUUCGUUACAGGUUCUCAGCGUGCUUCUGCCAAAACCCAACUUUCUAGUG
This 145-nucleotide ribosomal RNA is filed under the name Sclerencoelia fascicularis. RNAcentral describes it as "ITS2 ribosomal RNA". Lineage: Eukaryota; Fungi; Ascomycota; Leotiomycetes; Helotiales; Sclerotiniaceae. The record is from RNAcentral.